UACGGGGGGGGCAAGCGUUGUUCGGAAUUACUGGGCGUAAAGGGCUUGUAGGUGGCCAACUAAGUCAGACGUGAAAUCCCUCAGCUUAACUGGGGAACUGCGUCUGAUACUGGAUGGCUUGAGUUUGGGAGAGGGAUGCGGAAUUCCCGGUGUAGAGGUGAAAUUCGUAGAUAUCGGGAGGAACACCGGUGGCGAAGGCGGCGACCUGGGUAGAUACUGACGCUGAGGUGCGAAAGCGUGGGGAGCAAACAGG
This 253-nucleotide ribosomal RNA is filed under the name uncultured bacterium. RNAcentral describes it as "partial 16S ribosomal RNA". It matches the Rfam family "Bacterial small subunit ribosomal RNA", at positions 524 to 776 of the family's 1533-position model. The record is from RNAcentral.